RNAcentral lists this ribosomal RNA (477 nucleotides) under uncultured Pseudomonadota bacterium. Its description in RNAcentral is "bacterial SSU rRNA". It matches the Rfam family "Bacterial small subunit ribosomal RNA", at positions 8 to 522 of the family's 1533-position model. Lineage: Bacteria; Pseudomonadati; Pseudomonadota. The record is from RNAcentral.
AGAGUUUGAUCAUGGCUCAGAACGAACGCUGGCGGCAGGCCUAACACAUGCAAGUCGAACGAGAAGCCACCUUCGGGUGGUGGACAGUGGCAGACGGGUGAGUAACGCGUGGGAACGUGCCUUUCGGUUCGGGAUAACCCAGGGAAACUUGGGCUAAUACCGGAUACGCCCUUCGGGGGAAAGAUUCAUUGCCGAAAGAUCGGCCCGCGUCGGAUUAGCUAGUUGGUAGGGUAAAAGCCUACCAAGGCGACGAUCCGUAGCUGGUCUGAGAGGAUGACCAGCCACACUGGGACUGAGACACGGCCCAGACUCCUACGGGAGGCAGCAGUGGGGAAUAUUGGACAAUGGGCGCAAGCCUGAUCCAGCCAUGCCGCGUGGGUGAAGAAGGCCUUAGGGUUGUAAACCCCUUUCAGCGGGGAAGAUAAUGACGGUACCCGCAGAAGAAGUCCGGCUAACUCCGUGCCAGCAGCCGCGGUA